UCCAGCUUGAUUCAUUAUCUCAGUACAGCAGCCUUCAAUGGCAAGGACUUAGGUAAGGAUCCAGGUCCCCUGACCUCAGGUAGAGGUGCAGCAGAGUCUGCUGAAAGCUAGAGGAAAUCUUUAUUACUGGGUAAGGGUUUGUCUUUGCUUUUGCUUUUUAACCCCAGGCUCCAUGAGCCACCUCACAGGCUAUGAAACAGACCGACAGCGUCAUAAUACUGCUCUUCUGGCUGCUACUGACCUGCUGAAAAGGCUCUACUCUACCAGUACCACUCCGCUAGUGUUGCUCAGGACCUGGGGCCUGCAGGCCACUAAUGCAGUGUCUCCUCUCAAAGAACAGAUUAUGGCCUUUGCGAGUAGAUGAGGGCCCCUCUUCUGGGGACCAUGGUGAUGACAAAGAACACCUAGCCCUGGGACAUCACAGGCCUUCCCAGUAUGGACUAAUAAACUUACACUGG
Molecule: long non-coding RNA, 458 nt
Filed under: Rattus norvegicus (Norway rat)
Lineage: Eukaryota; Metazoa; Chordata; Mammalia; Rodentia; Muridae
Description: long non-coding RNA NONRATT025211
Source: RNAcentral